This 30-nucleotide non-coding RNA is filed under the name Rattus norvegicus (Norway rat). The record is from RNAcentral. Lineage: Eukaryota; Metazoa; Chordata; Mammalia; Rodentia; Muridae.
UCAGAAAUCAUUUCAAGAUGAGUCAGAGUG